Molecule: long non-coding RNA, 478 nt
Organism: Panicum hallii
Lineage: Eukaryota; Viridiplantae; Streptophyta; Magnoliopsida; Poales; Poaceae
Exons: 2
Source: RefSeq, a predicted model, not a curated record
GUCAUGAGCACUGUCUGCUGCUCGUCCCCCUUCUCUCUGCUGCUCCCAUGGGCCAUGGCCGCCUUCCCCUGCAUGCCAUGGCCCUAGGGCAGCGCCCCCUCGAAAUCCACCCAAGGUCGCCCCCACCCCCUCUGGAUAUGCCGCAGCAGCUAGUUUUAGCUGCGUCAGAGGUGCGGAGGCAACGCCAUGAACUGUGAUUGGGCUUAUCUCGUCGCUGGACCAUGGAAGCCUCAGCGACCAGUUCUCUGCGAGACCAUGGCACCUGCUGUCCAAAGAACACCACCAAGGAAGCUGACACCCAAGAAGCUGAAGACCAAUUGAUGUAACUGUGAACCAUGUCAUGUAACUGAGAGUGGACUCAGUGUCUACUUUCAUUUAACUGAGAUGUGAACUCGGUAUGUCUACUUUCAUGUAACUGAGAUGUAAACUCAGUAUUUGCCAUGUUUAUGCAACUCAAUUAUGACAGUAGUGAACUAAA